Long non-coding RNA from Oncorhynchus kisutch (coho salmon), 2572 nucleotides. RefSeq lists it as uncharacterized. The transcript is spliced from 2 exons. NCBI's taxonomy places the organism in Eukaryota, Metazoa, Chordata, Actinopteri, Salmoniformes, Salmonidae. The record is from RefSeq and is a predicted model, not a curated record.
GUUUCGAAUAGAACAAUGUGGGAAAUCCACACGAAGAAUUUGGCUCGCGCGUACAAGUUUAUCCAAUACAAUUCCGAGCGUUUAUGGAAAAUAUGUGUCUAACUGUAAAAUGUUACUAUUAAGAGAACAUUAUUUAAUCGAUACAUAGAAAACUACGGAAGUAAGCCCGGUAGAACAACGUGAAUCCCGGACUGCUGACAAGCAACGGCCUCAUCAGACAUGGCGAGGAGUCGGAGAUCCUUUACCGUAAAUUCCACUUGUAAAGGCGAGGCAACAACCAUAUACAGUCAUUGGCAACAACACAUUUCAUUUUUACGGGAACGAGCAUGGCGUGCACCCGAGAGACCAGGGGACCCUAAAUUGUGCCAGUCCAGCGAACUAUUGUCUUAUUGCAAGAAAUACAUUUGACUGUAAAGAUUUGGACGGUGAUACCACCGCAGCACCUGAUUUCGAGGCCAGCUCGCCCCCGCGUCCACAUGUAUCUUGCGCAUGUACGCGAACAGGACUCCAAGGUGCAUUGCACGGGCGCUAGUGUUGUGGUACAGACGCUGAGAUAUAAUAACUCCCACCCAUAUCCCUUGUAUUCUGAUCUAACGGUCUUAUCUGUUACUAUUUAAAUUAUGAUGUGUCUUGAAGGUCCUCUUAGGCCCAGCUUUUGUAUAUUCUAUUAAUAAUUAGCACUUUUCUUUCAAUACUUCCUACACAGUUGUUGGAAGGCGCCAUUUUACAUUCAGUUCAAAUGGGCACGUAUUCUCGCGAGUACUCGCUUGGAAAGGGUCACGAUUAAGGCAUGCAUGCUAGUAGCAGAAAGGAUGCUUAUCUAUGAAGUUCAAUUAAAUUAUUAAAUUAUAGGACUAUUAUAUUUUAUUAUAUUCAAAGAUUCAGGAAGUUGUGGAAUGACAAUGAAAUAUUUGAUAUGAAUCACAUCUAUCUUUGUUUUUUCACUGUACAUUCUGAAACUUACCAAAUACCUUUCAAGGAUCGAAUACAACCCUGGUUCCUAAAGCACUGUUUGAAAUGGCAAAACAAAAAAAAGUUAUAAUUAAAAAACAAACACAGGCUACAAUAACAUUUUCUCAGUUGGCCUAUUGUUGGGCAAAAAAACAUCCAUAUAUUAAUUCCUAAUGUUUUAAUGUAAAAGUGAGUGUUAAACUGACUGUUACGUUUAAGGAAACCUCAUUUUGACCCUUGCACCCUGUAAAGGUUAAUUUUGUUCAGAAGUUAAUAUUCAAGGUCCGUCUGAAUGUAUACACUUUUGUGUGUGUAUGUGCCUUUAAACAGGAAUACAACUGCCCCAGUCUGCCUUAAAGAGCCAGGCAUGUGCUGGUGAGGCUCUCCCCACAACAGGCUGCCUCUCUGCUCUCUUAAGGUGGACCAGAAGAGAUGUGUUGCGUGUGUCUAGUACCUUGCAGUAACAAUGGACGGGAAAGAGUUAAUUCCCACGGUCUCUCCUCUAGCCUCUUUGUGAUCUCAUGGAAGGCUGUCCAGUGGAUAUGAGGAUCACUCUCUUCCCCAGAACACUUCUUAUACACCGCAUCUCAUCUAAUAAUAGGGUACACACACACACACACACACACACACACACACACACACACACACACACACACACACACAAAACACCCCUCAUACAAAGGUAAAUUCAUAUGAGGUGUGUAUGAUGAGAGGUGGGACUGAUCCCAAGCUGUACAAUACAUGACAACCUGUUAUGACUUGUUGACAGCAUACACAACACAUGGCACUAUGUUACAAUUGUGGAAUGAAUGAGAGGCCCUCACAUAGACUAUUGCUGCUCCAAGUGCUUUAUUCUUGCACCCAAAUACACUAUGUUUCGACUUCACAGAAGACUUUGUCCGGUGUAUAUUACGAUUGACCUAAACCUAUUUACAUAUUAUAGUAAUCCUCAUCACUUACUGUAUCAUGUUAGUUACAUGAAUGUGUUUUGUGUAUGUCACUGUAUAAAAAUGUAUCUUAAGUUCUUUGUAGGCUAGUCUGUGUUUGUCGGUUGACAGUACCACCUGUCCUCCUUUGCUCAGUGUCUGCCUGAGGUUAGUCCCAGCAUACUGGCAAUAAUCCAUGAACUUGGCGUCAAAACAAUAGGUAUGUUGUACACACCUACACAAUACACACACUUACACAAUACACACAUCUACCAGAAUACACACAUCCACCUAUUCCUAUUCUAACUGAUUUCCUCUAUGCAUUUGUAAAUCUUUGUGUCUGUGAGGUGUGUCUGUGUGUGUGUGUGUUUUUUCUCUACUGUCCUCGUGCACUGCUGGUAUCUUUGCGCCACUCUAAUGAUCUUAAAGUAAUCCUUGACUGAUGAGAUUACAGAAAACAGUGUGAAAAGGUAUGUAGAGGAGAGACUGAGCAUCACUAUAACAGAUCCACUCAGUGCAAACAGGACAACUACAAAAUGGCUACACUUGACCCAUGAGACCAACGGGAGAAAAGGGAAAGCCAGUGUGUUACCCAACAACACGACAAAUGUGAAGCAGAAGUCUAAAGGAUCAGAGGUAUAUAUUGAAAGAGCAGCCUUUAUUGCUUUUGAUGGAAAUUAAAUUGGUUUAUUGAA